Molecule: small RNA, 270 nt
Filed under: Vigna angularis var. angularis
Lineage: Eukaryota; Viridiplantae; Streptophyta; Magnoliopsida; Fabales; Fabaceae
Description: Non-protein coding transcript
Source: RNAcentral
CAGCGCGUGGAUAUUUUCUUAUUCAAGUGGUGUUCUGUGCAUUUGGUGUCAAUCAACGUUGAAAUCGUACCAGCAGUUCAUUCACGUGAAUUGAAGCAGAAUUGCGGUUUACCGAGCAGCUUAUUGGCAGGUGAAGAAAAUGGAUAUUAGCAGUUCAUGAAUUUGAUUCGUUGAUUUAUUCCUUCAAGCGUUGAUGUUCCACUAUGGUGUAAUUAAAUCCAUUUCAAUUUCCUGAACAAUUAUGGGUGGUCGGUUCAAUUAGUUGAAGCG